RNAcentral lists this transfer RNA (76 nucleotides) under Chloroflexota bacterium. RNAcentral describes it as "Chloroflexi bacterium tRNA-Arg". It matches the Rfam family "tRNA". Rfam says of the family: Transfer RNA (tRNA) molecules are approximately 80 nucleotides in length. Their secondary structure includes four short double-helical elements and three loops (D, anti-codon, and T loops). Lineage: Bacteria; Bacillati; Chloroflexota. The record is from RNAcentral.
GCGCCCGUAGCUCAGCGGAUAGAGCACCAGGCUUCGGACCUGGGGGUCGGGGGUUCGAGUCCCUCCGGGCGUACCA